UUGCAGAUGAUGAAAAAACUUAGAUUAUUUUUGGGCUGAUUUAACCAUGAGGCUCCAAAAUCGAGCUUUUUAAAACUGAUGUUCU
Molecule: small nucleolar RNA, 85 nt
Filed under: Helianthus annuus (common sunflower)
Lineage: Eukaryota; Viridiplantae; Streptophyta; Magnoliopsida; Asterales; Asteraceae
Source: RNAcentral